RNAcentral lists this ribosomal RNA (448 nucleotides) under uncultured bacterium. RNAcentral describes it as "bacterial SSU rRNA". It matches the Rfam family "Bacterial small subunit ribosomal RNA", at positions 28 to 456 of the family's 1533-position model. The record is from RNAcentral.
GAUGAACGCUGGCGGCGUGCUUAACACAUGCAAGUCGAACGAAGCACUUUAUUUGAUUUCCUUCGGGACUGAUUAUUUUGUGACUGAGUGGCGGACGGGUGAGUAACGCGUGGGUAACCUGCCUUGUACAGGGGGAUAACAGUUGGAAACGGCUGCUAAUACCGCAUAAGCGCACAGCAUCGCAUGAUGCAGUGUGAAAAGCUCCGGUGGUAUAAGAUGGACCCGCGUUGGAUUAGCUAGUUGGUGAGGUAACGGCCCACCAAGGCGACGAUCCAUAGCCGACCUGAGAGGGUGACCGGCCACAUUGGGACUGAGACACGGCCCAAACUCCUACGGGAGGCAGCAGUGGGGAAUAUUGCACAAUGGGCGAAAGCCUGAUGCAGCGACGCCGCGUGAGCGAAGAAGUAUUUCGGUAUGUAAAGCUCUAUCAGCAGGGAAGAUAAUGACG